This 483-nucleotide ribosomal RNA is filed under the name uncultured bacterium. Its description in RNAcentral is "partial 16S ribosomal RNA". It matches the Rfam family "Bacterial small subunit ribosomal RNA", at positions 30 to 506 of the family's 1533-position model. The record is from RNAcentral.
AUUGAACGCUGGCGGCAUGCUUUACACAUGCAAGUCGAACGGCAGCGCGGGCUUCGGCCUGGCGGCGAGUGGCGAACGGGUGAGUAAUACAUCGGAACGUGCCCAGUAGUGGGGGAUAGCUCGGCGAAAGCCGGAUUAAUACCGCAUACGACCUGAGGGUGAAAGCGGGGGAUCUUCGGACCUCGCGCUAUUUGAGCGGCCGAUGGCAGAUUAGCUAGUUGGUGGGGUAAAGGCCUACCAAGGCGACGAUCUGUAGCUGGUCUGAGAGGACGACCAGCCACACUGGGACUGAGACACGGCCCAGACUCCUACGGGAGGCAGCAGUGGGGAAUUUUGGACAAUGGGCGAAAGCCUGAUCCAGCAAUGCCGCGUGUGUGAUGAAGGCCUUCGGGUUGUAAAGCACUUUUGGCGGGAACGAAAAGGACUGUGCCAAUACCACGGUUCGAUGACGGUACCCGCAGAAUAAGCACCGGCUAACUACGU